This 486-nucleotide ribosomal RNA is filed under the name uncultured bacterium. Its description in RNAcentral is "partial 16S ribosomal RNA". It matches the Rfam family "Bacterial small subunit ribosomal RNA", at positions 28 to 507 of the family's 1533-position model. The record is from RNAcentral.
GACGAACGCUGGCGGCGUGCUUAACACAUGCAAGUCGAACGCUGAAGACCUGGCUUUUGUUGGGUUGGAUGAGUGGCGAACGGGUGAGUAACACGUGAGUAACCUGCCCUCUUCUUUGGGAUAACGCCCGGAAACGGGUGCUAAUACUGGAUAUUCACUGAUCUUCGCAUGGGGGUUGGUGGAAAGGUUUGUUCUGGUGGGGGAUGGGCUCGCGGCCUAUCAGCUUGUUGGUGGGGUGAUGGCCUACCAAGGCUUUGACGGGUAGCCGGCCUGAGAGGGUGACCGGUCACAUUGGGACUGAGACACGGCCCAGACUGCUGCGGGAGGCAGCAAUGGGGAAUAUUGCGCGAUAGGCGAAAGCAUGAUGCAGCGACGCGGCGUGAGGGAUGGAGGCCUUCGGGUUGUAUACCUCUGUCGCUCAUGGUCAAGCCGCAACAGCGGGUUGUGGUGAGGGUAGUGGGUAAAGAAGCGCCGGCUAACUACGUG